Vicia faba (fava bean) is the source of this 440-nucleotide non-coding RNA. The record is from the annotation of a GenBank genome assembly. Lineage: Eukaryota; Viridiplantae; Streptophyta; Magnoliopsida; Fabales; Fabaceae.
AAUAAGAAAAUUGAUAGUUUCCUAAGGGAGAAGGAAUUUGUGGAGUGCAAAACUGAACAUGGAGUAUAUGUAAGAAGAAGCAAGAGUAAAUUGCUUAUACUAUGUCUCUAUGUAGAUGAUUUGUUGAUAACAGGUAGCUGCAAGAGUGAGAUCGAAGACUUCAAAGGUGAUCUCAGCAAGGAAUUCAAAAUGUCUGACUUGGGUGAGAUUUCAUAUUUCAUUGGUAUCGAAUUCUACAAGAGAAGUAGAGGUUUGAUGACGCAUCAAAGAAGAUAUGCAGGAGAAAUUAUCAAGAGAUUUGAGAUGGAAGAAUGCAACCCAACUUUGACACCUGCAAAACCAAGACUGCAACUGUCGAAAGAUGCAGAUGAAGAUGAUGUUGAUCCAACCCAAUACAGAAGACUUAUUGGAUCAUUGAGAUACAUUUGUCAUACAAGGCC